Molecule: ribosomal RNA, 465 nt
Filed under: uncultured bacterium
Lineage: Bacteria
Description: bacterial SSU rRNA
Rfam family: Bacterial small subunit ribosomal RNA
Source: RNAcentral
GGAUGAACGCUGGCGGCGUGCCUAACACAUGCAAGUCGAGCGAUUUUCUUAGGAGAAGAGCGGCGGACGGGUGAGUAACGCGUGGGUAACCUGCCUCAUACACAUGGAUAACAUACCGAAAGGUAUGCUAAUACAGGAUAACAUAAGAGAUUCACAUGGAUUUCUUAUCAAAGCUCCGGCGGUAUGAGAUGGACCCGCGUCUGAUUAGCUAGUUGGUAAGGUAACGGCUUACCGAGGCGACGAUCAGUAGCCGACCUGAGAGGGUGAUCGGCCACAUUGGAACUGAGACACGGUCCAAACUCCUACGGGAGGCAGCAGUGGGGAAUAUUGCACAAUGGGCGAAAGCCUGAUGCAAGCAACGCCGCGUGAGUGAUGAAGGCCUUCGGGUCGUAAAACUCUGUCCUCAAGGAAGAUAAUGACGGUACUUGAGGAGGAAGCCCCGGCUAACUACGUGCCAGCAGCUGC